UGACAAUCCACCUGUCCCAUACUGCUAC
This 28-nucleotide non-coding RNA is filed under the name Rattus norvegicus (Norway rat). The record is from RNAcentral. Lineage: Eukaryota; Metazoa; Chordata; Mammalia; Rodentia; Muridae.